CACGGCUCCCCACACACCGAGCGCCGCCCGGCGCGGGGGGUAACAGCGCCGAGAGCCGCCCCUGCCCCGCUGUGCGCUACGCGGAGCCCGGAAAGCUGCUGCGGCCCAACAGGGGAGGGCCGAGAGCCCGCUCUGGAGCCCGCUCUUAACGCAACAGCUACUGGGUCUCCUGAACCACUACGUGUCCAGAAGCAACGUUCAGACACUCCAACGUGCCACCACCGCACAGAACGUCUUUAUUUAGCUAAAACCACGUCGGUAUCACCGGGGGGAACCAACAACCAGCAACCGAGAGCCUGAUACUAGCAGGUACCGAAGGCGGUUUCUCUCAGAAGGGUCUGCCCGCCCGACUUUCGGCACUGCCGCUAACGGCGUUCCCGAGCGCGGCACGGAGCGGCCCCGCAGCUCGGCGAGGCCGAGGGAACAAAAGGCGCGGGCGGCGGGGUGCUCCGACCGCGGUGCCGGCACAGCGGGACGAGCGCGGCCAAACUGAAUGAGAAAAUCUGUACAGAAAUAGACAGUAUUUUUGAAGUUACCAUGCAUCCUUUCAACACCAAGAAUAUAAUCAGAGCAGAACCAGCAACAAGAUUCUGCAUGUGAUAAUCACAUCUUUGGUUGGGAGGUGGUCGUGGAGGGAGUCACAAAAUACAAACAUAAAAUGAGGAGCUAUUAUAAUGAAUAUCCACCAGCUCAUCUGAUAUUGAGCUACUCAA
Molecule: long non-coding RNA, 713 nt
Filed under: Gallus gallus (chicken)
Lineage: Eukaryota; Metazoa; Chordata; Aves; Galliformes; Phasianidae
Description: long non-coding RNA NONGGAT009254
Source: RNAcentral